Molecule: transfer RNA, 72 nt
Filed under: Nanobdellota archaeon
Lineage: Archaea; Nanobdellati; Nanobdellota
Description: tRNA-Tyr
Rfam family: tRNA
About the family: Transfer RNA (tRNA) molecules are approximately 80 nucleotides in length.
Source: RNAcentral
CCCUGCGUAGCUUAAUGGCGGAGCACAUGGCUGUAGCCCGUGAGGUUCCCGGUUCGAAUCCGGGCGCAGGGA